This 253-nucleotide ribosomal RNA is filed under the name uncultured bacterium. RNAcentral describes it as "partial 16S ribosomal RNA". It matches the Rfam family "Bacterial small subunit ribosomal RNA", at positions 524 to 776 of the family's 1533-position model. The record is from RNAcentral.
UACGAAGGGGGCUAGCGUUGUUCGGAAUCACUGGGCGUAAAGGGCGCGUAGGCGGAUCUUUAAGUCGGGGGUGAAAGCCCAGGGCUCAACCCUGGAAUUGCCUUCGAUACUGGAGAUCUUGAGACCGGAAGAGGUAAGUGGAACUGCGAGUGUAGAGGUGAAAUUCGUAGAUAUUCGCAAGAACACCAGUGGCGAAGGCGGCUUACUGGUCCGGUUCUGACGCUGAGGCGCGAAGGCCAGGGGAGCAAACGGG